UACGAAGGGGGCUAGCGUUGCUCGGAAUCACUGGGCGUAAAGGGCGCGUAGGCGGCCGUUUAAGUCGGGGGUGAAAGCCUGUGGCUCAACCACAGAAUUGCCUUCGAUACUGGAUGGCUUGAGACCGGAAGAGGUAAGUGGAACUGCGAGUGUAGAGGUGAAAUUCGUAGAUAUUCGCAAGAACACCAGUGGCGAAGGCGGCUUACUGGUCCGGAUCUGACGCUGAGGCGCGAAAGCGUGGGGAGCAAACAGG
Molecule: ribosomal RNA, 253 nt
Filed under: uncultured bacterium
Lineage: Bacteria
Description: partial 16S ribosomal RNA
Rfam family: Bacterial small subunit ribosomal RNA
Source: RNAcentral